This 460-nucleotide ribosomal RNA is filed under the name uncultured bacterium. Its description in RNAcentral is "partial 16S ribosomal RNA". It matches the Rfam family "Bacterial small subunit ribosomal RNA", at positions 338 to 795 of the family's 1533-position model. The record is from RNAcentral.
CCUACGGGAGGCAGCAGUGAGGAAUAUUGGUCAAUGGGCGCGAGCCUGAACCAGCCAAGUAGCGUGAAGGAUGACUGCCCUACGGGUUGUAAACUUCUUUUAUAAAGGAAUAAAGUGAGGCCCGUGUGCCUUUUUGUAUGUACUUUAUGGAUAAGGCUCGGCUAACCUCGGGCCAGCAGCCGCGGUAAUUCGGGGGAUCCGAGCGUUUUCCGGGUUUUUUGGGGUUAAAGGGAGCGUAGAUGGGUUGUUAAGGCAGGUGUUAAAGUUUGCGGCUCAACCGUAAAAUUGCAAUUGAAACUGGCAGUCUUGAGUACAGUUGAGGUAGGCGGAAUUCGUGGUGUAGCGGUGAAAUGCUUAGAUAUCACGAAGAACUCCGAUUGCGAAGGCAGCUUACUAAACUGCCACUGACAUUGAUGCUCGAAAGUGUGGGUAUCAAACAGGAUUAGAUACCCUGGUAGUC